RNAcentral lists this transfer RNA (73 nucleotides) under Strongylocentrotus purpuratus (purple sea urchin). Its description in RNAcentral is "tRNA-Lys". It matches the Rfam family "tRNA". Rfam says of the family: Transfer RNA (tRNA) molecules are approximately 80 nucleotides in length. Their secondary structure includes four short double-helical elements and three loops (D, anti-codon, and T loops). Lineage: Eukaryota; Metazoa; Echinodermata; Echinoidea; Camarodonta; Strongylocentrotidae. The record is from Rfam by way of RNAcentral.
GCCCAGUUAGCUCAGUCGGUAGAGCAUCUGACUUUUAAUCAGAGGGUCGCGGGUUUAAGUCCCUCAUCGGGCG